Molecule: ribosomal RNA, 433 nt
Filed under: uncultured bacterium
Lineage: Bacteria
Description: partial 16S ribosomal RNA
Rfam family: Bacterial small subunit ribosomal RNA
Source: RNAcentral
AACGAACGCUGGCGGCAUGCCUAACACAUGCAAGUCGAACGAGACCUUCGGGUCUAGUGGCGCACGGGUGCGUAACGCGUGGGAACCUGCCCUUAGGUUCGGAAUACCUCCCCGAAAGGGGUGCUAAUACCGGAUAAUGUCUUCGGACCAAAGAUUUAUCGCCUUUGGAUGGGCCCGCGUUGGAUUAGCUGGUUGGUAGGGUAAAAGCCUACCAAGGCGACGAUCCAUAGCUGGUCUGAGAGGAUGAUCAGCCACACUGGGACUGAGACACGGCCCAGACUCCUACGGGAGGCAGCAGUGGGGAAUAUUGGACAAUGGGCGAAAGCCUGAUCCAGCAAUGCCGCGUGAGUGAUGAAGGCCUUAGGGUUGUAAAGCUCUUUUACCCGGGAUGAUAAUGACAGUACCGGGAGAAUAAGCUCCGGCUAACUCCGAG